RNAcentral lists this long non-coding RNA (288 nucleotides) under Mytilus galloprovincialis (Mediterranean mussel). The record is from RNAcentral. Lineage: Eukaryota; Metazoa; Mollusca; Bivalvia; Mytilida; Mytilidae.
UAGAGUGUAGAUUGUCAGUUUUAAAUUUAGUAUUUUUUUAUUAGUUUUGUUGGGUCAAUUUUCUCUGAAUUAAUUUCACAUCAGGGCCUUUACAAAAUGUCUAAAUGUCAACUUCUAUUUCACUUUUUCGAAGCUUAACACAAUGUACUUUGAUAUUCGUCAUUGUGUUCAAUUUGACUUAUUUUCCGUAAGAGAUGACCAAGUUGAUUAUUAACGCCUGAAAAUAGCUAAAACCGCAUUUUAUAUACCGAUUUUGGAAAUUAUUCAGAAUUUAUAAACAAAAAAUUG